This is a long non-coding RNA of Oncorhynchus tshawytscha (Chinook salmon), 1382 nucleotides long. The record is from Ensembl. Lineage: Eukaryota; Metazoa; Chordata; Actinopteri; Salmoniformes; Salmonidae.
GGAGAGAUGAUGGAGAGAUGAAGGACAAAUGAGGGAGAGAUGGAGGAGAGAUGAGGGAGAGAUGUAGGAGAGAUGGGGAGAGAUGAGGGAGAGAUGGAGGAGAGAUGAGGGAGAGAUGGAGGAGAGAUGAGGGAGAGAUAAGGGAGAGAUGGAGGAGAGAUGAGGGAGAGAUGGAGCAGAGAUGCGGGAGAGUUGGAGGAGAGAUGGAGGAGAUGGAGGAGAGAUGAGGAAGAGAUGAGGGAGAAAUGGAGGAAGAGAUGGAUGAGAUAUGAGGGAGAGAUGGAGGAGAGAUGAGGGAGAGAUGAGGGAGAGAUGAAGGUCAGAUGAGGGAAAGAUGAGGGAGAGAUGGAGGAGACAUGAGGGAGAGAUGGAGGAGAGAUGAGGGAGAGAUGGAGAAGAGAUGUGUGAGAGAGAUGGGAAGAGAUGGAGGAGACGUGAGGGACAGAUGGAGGAGAGAUGAUGGAGAGAUAGAGGAAAGAUGUGGGACAGAUGAGGGAGAGAUGGAGGACAGAUGAGGGAGAGAUGGAGGAGAGAUGGAGGAGAGAUGGGGGGAGAUGGAGAGAUGAAGGUGAGAUGAGGGAGAGAUGGAGAGAUGGAGGUGAGAUGAGGGAGAGAAGAGGGCAAGAUGGAGAGGUGGAGAAGAGAUGGAGGAGAGAUGAGGGAGAGAUGGAUGAAGAGAUGGAGGAGAGAUGGAGGAGAGAUGAGGGAGAGAUGAGGGAGAGAUGGAGGAGAUUGAGGAGAGAUGGAGGAAGGGAUGAGGGAGAGAUGGAGGAAGAGAUGGAGGAGACAUGAGGGAGAGAUGGAGGAGAGAUGGAGGAGAGAUGGGGGGAGAUGGAGAGAUGAAGGUGAGAUGAGGGAGAGAUGGAGAGAUGGAGGUGAGAUGAGGGAGAGAAGAGGGCAAGAUGGAGAGGUGGAGAAGAGAUGGAGGAGAGAUGAGGGAGAGAUGGAGGAAGAGAUGGAGGAGAGAUGGAGGAGAGAUGAGGGAGAGAUGAGGGAGAGAUGGAGGAGAGAUGAGGGAGUGAUGGAGGAGAGAUGAGGGAGAGAUGAGGGAGAGAUGGAGGAGAUUGAGGAGAGAUGGAGGAAGGGAUGAGGGAGAGAUGGAGGAAGAGAUGGAGGAGACAUGAGGGAGAGAUGGAGGAGAGAUAGCUGAAGAGAUGGAGGAGAGAUGAGGGAGAGAUGGAGGAGAGAUGGAGGAAGAGCUGAGCGAGAGAUGGAGGAAGAGAUGGAGGAGACAUGAGGGAGAGAUGGAGGAGAUAUGAGGGGGAGAUACAGGAAGAUAUGGAGGAGAGAUGAGGGAGUGAUGGAGGAGAGAUGAGGGAGAGAUGGAGAGAUGGAGGUGAGAUGAGGGAGAGAUGGAGGUGAGAUGAGGGAGAGAAGAGUGC